CCGACCUGCCUUUCAGGCAUCCUCUCCCAAGACUUCCAAGGCCCGGCGGGUUUUCCCACCGGGCCUUUUUUUGUCCGCU
RNAcentral lists this small RNA (79 nucleotides) under Tsuneonella dongtanensis. RNAcentral describes it as "Altererythrobacter sp. JM27 Makes More Granules Regulator RNA (mmgR)". It matches the Rfam family "Makes More Granules Regulator RNA (mmgR)". From Rfam's summary of the family: SuhB later renamed mmgR (makes more granules regulator) was a putative non-coding RNA found multiple times in the Agrobacterium tumefaciens genome and related alpha-proteobacteria. Other non-coding RNAs uncovered in the same analysis include: speF, ybhL, metA, and serC. Several studies inSinorhizobium meliloti showed that suhB element is indeed a non-coding RNA:firstly it was detected on Northern blot and called Sm8RNA, secondly in an RNAseq study referred to as SmelC689. The record is from Rfam by way of RNAcentral. Lineage: Bacteria; Pseudomonadati; Pseudomonadota; Alphaproteobacteria; Sphingomonadales; Erythrobacteraceae.